This is a long non-coding RNA of Bos taurus (domestic cattle), 566 nucleotides long. The record is from Ensembl. NCBI's taxonomy places the organism in Eukaryota, Metazoa, Chordata, Mammalia, Artiodactyla, Bovidae.
UCAAGGUCUUUGGAUACAAGGUUGUUUCAGAGCCUUCCCUGUGGGGAGUACCAACCUGUCCCGUCCCUCGUCCUAAGAUCCUGCAGAGAGGCCAAGGCCAGCCUCCAUGGAAGUCAGGAAACACAGUGGCUGGAAUAUGGACCCAGAAAGUGUGGUGUUGAGUUUUCUUCAAUCUCAUAGACAAGGGCAUCAAGAUAAAGGUGCUGUUCUGCACAAAUAUCCGUUUGCUUAAUCCUCAUCCUAGGAGCACCUCCAUCACCUCCGCUUAAUAGAUGGGGAGAGAGGCUGAAAGGAGCUGCUGGGAAGGGCAGAGCGGGCUGGCACUUGAGCUGAGACCAUUUGGCUUCAGGUGACCCAUCCUGACACAAGGCAUUUUCCCACCUUUGUGACCCCCUGGGUGGGGCUGUUGGGUCCUUUGUCACGGAGCCCCUCACACAAACACCUCAAGGGCUCCAGCGAGGGCUCUGGGGAGGGCAGCAACCCCACCAGAGUCUCUUGCUCCUCCCAGCAGGCAGCUGACAGAUACCACUUCCCUCGCCCUCCCCAUCUGGAAGACAGGAAACUGG